CCAUUCAAAUUCAAACAUCUUUUGAAUUUGAAUGGCCAACCAAUUUCAUCCAUAUCCAUUCAAAAUGAUGCACAAAGAGAGAGUGUGGGAUGGCUUCUGUGUGGAAGAAAAUUCAUGAGAACUCAUUUCUCAUGAAUUCAAAUGGGCGCAGAUGAAGUGAGGUGGCGCAGGGAGAAAAGUCAAGGUGGUUUGAACCUAAUUGAGCCAACCUAAUCAAAAUAGGUUAAGCACAAUUAGACUAAGUUAAACCCAACUUAAUUAGACUUAAUUAAGCUCAAUAAAAUCUUAAUCA
This 292-nucleotide long non-coding RNA is filed under the name Elaeis guineensis (African oil palm). RNAcentral describes it as "long non-coding RNA (EGUI_LNC079457)". Lineage: Eukaryota; Viridiplantae; Streptophyta; Magnoliopsida; Arecales; Arecaceae. The record is from RNAcentral.